AUGGAAGGAGAUCGGGAAGGAGCAAGGUAUAUCUGGGGAGGGGUCUCCACAAACUCUGUAGAAGGUUGUAGAGAUCCCUGCCUCCUGUCUCUUCCCACUCUGCUGCCGAGAUUAUUUUGUUUUACAAAAUGUUCAGUCCAUGUUUCCAUGUCUCCUGACUCCUCAAGAACUUCCAGUCUUUGCCCACCCACUUCCACAAGCAGAAACUCCUUAACAAUGGUUUUAAAGCACUCAAUCACCUUGCCCCCUCUGCCUCACCUCACUACUCUCCCACUUCAGCCUCACCUGCACCCUGCUUUCCUCUAAUGCCAACCUACUCGCUGUACCCCGAUCCCAUUUAUCUUGCAGUCAACCUCUCUCCCACAUCCUGCCUCUAGUCUAGAACACUCUCCCUCUUCACAUUCGACAAUUACUCUCCCCACCUUCAGAACCUUAUUGAAGGCACAUCUUCUCCAAGAGACCUUCCUCAUUAAAUUCUCAUUUCCUUUUCUCCCACUUCAUCCUGUGUAGCCCUGAUUUACUCCUUUUAUUUGCCCCCUCUACAACAGCCCCACAUCACUUAUGUACAUAUCCAUAGUUUAUUUAUAUUGUCUGUCUCCCCCUCUUGACUGCUAGAUCCUUGUGGGGCAGGGAAUGUGUCUGGUAUAUUGUUGUGCUGUACUCUCCUAAGCUCUCUGUACAGUGCUCUGCACACAGUAAGUGCUCAAUAAAUACAAUUGAUUGAAUGAUUCUAUCCAGAAAUGCUUUUUUGGAACUUAAAAUGGCUAGUACAAUAAUUUAUCAUCACUGCAUUCAGAACAGAUAUUCACAAUGCAAAUUAUUGAUUCCUGUAUUUGAACAACCAUAGCAAAUGGGAUCUUUUAUUUCCAUUUUCAGUUUACUUGCCUAGAACUCCAGAUUGAGGAACAUGGUCUGUUCCCUGGCACUUUAAGAAGCCUGGAUAUUCUCUACAGCUCAAAUAUUGUAGCUAAAUAUAGCCACCUGCAACAUCGAUUCAGCCAUAAGGCUUUA
RNAcentral lists this long non-coding RNA (1011 nucleotides) under Ornithorhynchus anatinus (platypus). RNAcentral's name for it is "lncRNA (ENSOANG00000040136.1)". Lineage: Eukaryota; Metazoa; Chordata; Mammalia; Monotremata; Ornithorhynchidae. The record is from RNAcentral.